CAUGUCUAAGUUUAAGCAAUCUAUACGGUGAAACUGCGAAUGGCUCAUUAAAUCAGUUAUCGUUUAUUUGAUAGUACCUUACUACAUGGAUAACCGUGGUAAUUCUAGAGCUAAUACAUGCUAAAAACCUCGACUUCGGAAGGGGUGUAUUUAUUAGAUAAAAAACCAAUGCCCUUCGGGGCUCCUUGGUGAUUCAUAAUAACUCAACGAAUCGCAUGGCCUUGCGCCGGCGAUGGUUCAUUCAAAUUUCUGCCCUAUCAACUUUCGAUGGUAGGAUAGUGGCCUACCAUGGUUUUAACGGGUAACGGGGAAUUAGGGUUCUAUUCCGGAGAGGGAGCCUGAGAAACGGCUACCACAUCCAAGGAAGGCAGCAGGCGCGCAAAUUACCCAAUCCCAACACGGGGAGGUAGUGACAAUAAAUACUGAUGUGGAGCUCUUUAGGGUUUCACAAUUGGAAUGAGUACAAUUUAAAUCCCUUAACGAGGAACAAUUGGAGGGCAAGUCUGGUGCCAGCAGCCGCGGUAAUUCCAGCUCCAAUAGCGUAUAUUAAAGUUGUUGCAGUUAAAAAGCUCGUAGUUGAACCUUGGGCCUGGCUGACCGGUCCGCCUCACCGCGAGCACUGGUUCGGCCGGGCCUUUCCUUCUGGGGAGCCGCAUGCCCUUCACUGGGUGUGUCGGGGAACCAGGACUUUUACUUUGAAAAAAUUAGAGUGUUCAAAGCAGGCCUAUGCUCGAAUACAUUAGCAUGGAAUAAUAGAAUAGGACGUGCGGUUCUAUUUUGUUGGUUUCUAGGACCGCCGUAAUGAUUAAUAGGGAUAGUCGGGGGCAUCAGUAUUCAAUUGUCAGAGGUGAAAUUCUUGGAUUUAUUGAAGACUAACUACUGCGAAAGCAUUUGCCAAGGAUGUUUUCAUUAAUCAGUGAACGAAAGUUAGGGGAUCGAAGACAAUCAGAUACCGUCGUAGUCUUAACCUUAAACUAUGCCGACUAGGGAUCGGACGGUGUUAUCAUUUUGACCCGUUCGGCCCCUUACGAGAAAUCACACCACCAGGCGUGGAGCCUGCGGCUUAAUUUGACUCAACACGGGGAAACUCACCAGGUCCANNCCUCAAAUGGAUUVACGGAUUGRRAACGAUUUGUCUGCUUAAUUGCGAUAACGAANGAGACCUUAACCUGCUAAAUAGCCAGGCCAGCUUUGGCUGGUCGCCGGUUUUUAGAGGGACUAUCGGCUCAAGCCGAUGGAAGUUUGAGGCAAUAACAGGUCUGUGAUGCCCUUAGAUGUUUUGGGCCGCACGCGCGGUACACUGACAGAGCCAACGAGUAAAUCACCUUGGCCGGAAGGUUUGGGUAAUCUUGUUAAACUCUGUCGUGCUGGGGAUAGAGCAUUGCAAUUAUUGCUCUUCAACGAGGAAUGCCUAGUAAGCGCAAGUCAUCAGCUUGCGUUGAUUAAGUCCCUGCCCUUWGUACACACCGCCCGUCGGUAAUACCGAUUGAAUGGUUCAGCGAGGCCUUCGGAAUGGCUCNGAGAGGUCGGCAACGAACACUCAGAGCCGGAAAGGUCGUCAGACUUGUCAUNNAGAGAAG
This 1580-nucleotide ribosomal RNA is filed under the name Baeomyces placophyllus. RNAcentral's name for it is "partial small subunit ribosomal RNA". It matches the Rfam family "Eukaryotic small subunit ribosomal RNA". The record is from RNAcentral. Lineage: Eukaryota; Fungi; Ascomycota; Lecanoromycetes; Baeomycetales; Baeomycetaceae.